RNAcentral lists this ribosomal RNA (882 nucleotides) under uncultured bacterium. RNAcentral's name for it is "bacterial SSU rRNA". It matches the Rfam family "Bacterial small subunit ribosomal RNA", at positions 46 to 906 of the family's 1533-position model. The record is from RNAcentral.
GCUUAACACAUGCAAGUCGAGCGGUAACAGGCAUUUUGAUUCAGCUUGCUGAAUCUCGCGCUGACGAGCGGCGGACGGGUGAGUAACGCGUAGGAAUCUACCUAGUAGAAGGGGAUAGCCCGGGGAAACUCGGAUUAAUACCGUAUGCGUCCUUAGGGAGAAAGAGGGCUUAGCUUUGAUGCUCUCGCUAUUAGAUGAGCCUGCGUAAGAUUAGCUUGUUGGUGAGGUAAAGGCUCACCAAGGCUACGAUCUUUAGCUGGUCUGAGAGGACGAUCAGCCACAUUGGGACUGAGACACGGCCCAGACUCCUACGGGAGGCAGCAGUGGGGAAUAUUGGACAAUGGGCGCAAGCCUGAUCCAGCCAUACCGCGUGUGUGAAGAAGGCCUUCGGGUUGUAAAGCACUUUAAGUAAGGAAGAAAAGUAUAUUGUUAAUACCAAUGUACCGUGACAUUACUUACAGAAUAAGGACCGGCUAAUUCCGUGCCAGCAGCCGCGGUAAUACGGAAGGUCCAAGCGUUAAUCGGAAUUACUGGGCGUAAAGCGCGCGUAGGUGGUUUAUUAAGUUGGGUGUGAAAGCCCCGGGCUCAACCUGGGAACUGCAUCCAAAACUGAUUCACUAGAGUACGAAAGAGGGAGGUAGAAUUCACAGUGUAGCGGUGGAAUGCGUAGAUAUUGUGAAGAAUACCAAUGGCGAAGGCAGCCUCCUGGUUCUGUACUGACACUGAGGUGCGAAAGCGUGGGUAGCGAACAGGAUUAGAUACCCUGGUAGUCCACGCCGUAAACGAUGACAACCAGCUGUUGGGAAGCAAUGCUUUUCAGUGGCGCAGCUAACGUCUUAAGUUGUCCGCCUGGGGAGUACGGCCACAAGUUAAAACUCAAAU